CCGGUAAUUCAAUUAAUAAUAGAAGUUAUUUUAGCAUUACCCAUCACGGGAUCAACCAAUUCGAAUUCCUCGGGACUACAAAUUACCACCAAUCUAAUGUGUUAGCAGCGAGGUAGCAAAUAUAAACGAAAGAUCUUUGAAUGAUAGUUAUAUACAGCACGUAUAAUUUUGUAUUCGAACGACAUUUGUACAAUGUGGGGUACACCAAUAACAAAAUGAUGCGAAAUGGUACAAAUAUUGCUCUUACGCAAACAUUUUUAUACCAUCUCUAGAUAACGGAAGCGUUGUUUUGAGAAUAAGAAUUUCUGCCACAGUUAUGGUUUAAAGUGUUUUUCUUUUUCUUUGUUAUUAUCAUCCAGAUGUGAUUUUUCACACUGUUUCUACAUUUAAUUAGAUUUGACAUUGUACAGGUGGUAAACUUGUCAAACCCGUACUUUGGUAAUCUAAUACUGUGGGGCGACAGUCGUAUUUGUAAAUUUUGCGUUAAUUGUAAUGACGGCAUAGAUGUGUGUUUGUCAGCUCCCGUUUAACCUGGCGAAAAUAAUCAGUUUACUUUCCAAUACUCGAAGCUAUAGAUUUUCUACACAGAAAUUUCUCCCCGGCCCGCCAAUGGCACCAUAGAAUUACACACAUGCGCAGAUGUGCUUUCAUUUCCGUCUAAUACUAUGUAUACAUGCCCAGACACAAGCCAAUAAUUCUAGACAUCUGUUUGUUAUUGUGUCUGCUCAGGUCCUCUUCACUCUCAUACCGGCAAUUUGGGGAUUUAUUGACGAGCUCAAAAUUGACGGAAAGUUUCUUUCAACAAAAUUCGUUAUAAGGGAUUUUUCGCGCAACUCGAGACGUUACAUACGUAUUACUUAGAUACAUUUUAAAGACAGAAGUUGUUGAGCUUUCCAAAGACCAAACACCUUCGCCAUUCUCAUAGUACAGCUUUGCUUGGACCACUCUAGCCGAGAUAUUAGAAACGAGUCCCUUUGAUAUGAAGUGCGUGAAGCAAGUGAAUCUGCAUUGGAUCACGCGCAUAUCCAUUUCCAUAACGGCGUUCGCUGAUGGCAAGCAGUCAUCAUUGACGGUGAGUACCUGUACGUGGUGACGAUACCGACGGGCACAUGUAUUCAAUGAAUGUACAUAGGUUGCACAUUCUCGAGCGGCUAUGGGAAUGCCUAAGCACUUCAGAAGAUCUUGAAAAGAAGGCAAUCUCAUCGACGUGCCACUAUGAAAUCUCUGUCAAUAAGGACAAAUUUCUCGUGUUCGAAGAAAACACGCUAAUUCCCGUUUACCGCUUUCAAGAAAUUGACAGACCUUAUGCUUACAUCGCAGGUACACCGGUUUGAUGAUCAGUGACGGAAAGAGCACGUUACAGGGCAUAACUUUGCCUUGAUACUCAAGUUAUAUAAGUUAAACGGAGCGUCAAAUCUCUUGCGCAAUACGAGUGUGUUCAUUUGAAGCAGUACAUAAUGACGGAAGUAUAUUCGUGUUUGGCAGUGUUGUCAUCUCAGGCAAAACUGCGCGAAUGGGAUACGCGACUUGGGCCUUCAAGCGCCUACAACCUCGGCAACAACCAAAGCAAAUCGGCGGCCGAAUCGUCGCGGUUUGUUUUGGAGCUGUUCAUCGGUGAUGAACAAGAUUACAACGCGCAUAUAAACGUUUUGAGCUGUUUUGCAUUCUGUUAUAGACACCGAUACUACAAUCGUAGUAUAUCUGCAUAGGGCCAAUCUCAUAUUCGAGCAACAUGUUCAGUGACAUGAAAGCCUGGGAGUAUUGCAAAGUGAAAUUUGAUGAUUUGUCAUUACACUAAGUUCCCAUCGAUACUGGAUACUGCUUAUUCAUUGAGUUCUAACGUUCUGUUCAAUUAUGAUGUUUAGUGCAAACACAAUAAACAUCAUCAGAAAUCACUAGGAAUAAUGAUACUAAUAAUAAUAUGGCUGUUUGAUUGCGUAACUUGUUUUUAUUGACUUUGCCUUGUACCCUGUAUUUUCGACCAGGCUUUAUUUCAAGUCUGGGGUAAGACUACUGCUGUCGUAUUUCAGGAAAUGUCAAAUCGCUUAUAAUGAUAUAUUAACUCUCAAAGAAUCAUUCCGGGGUCUGGUUAUCGAGAUUCUGAGUAGAAACAUUGUCCACUUUGCCUCUAAUUUGAGCUGUAGUCUUCUCUCAGGGUGGGGCAUAACGACGAGUUAUCCGUCCACGAUUUAGUUAAAAAGCAUUGUUUUAUUCUGCUUUUGAAGGACUAACUAGGCUGCGAUCUUUCUUAUUCGUCAAAAAAACGAAAGCGAUUGAA
Non-coding RNA from Varroa destructor (honeybee mite), 2278 nucleotides. The record is from RefSeq and is a predicted model, not a curated record. Lineage: Eukaryota; Metazoa; Arthropoda; Arachnida; Mesostigmata; Varroidae.